Molecule: small RNA, 110 nt
Filed under: Klebsiella pneumoniae
Lineage: Bacteria; Pseudomonadati; Pseudomonadota; Gammaproteobacteria; Enterobacterales; Enterobacteriaceae
Description: RtT sRNA
Rfam family: RtT RNA
About the family: This family represents a bacterial cis-regulatory element known as RtT RNA. The exact function of RtT is unknown although it is thought that it may be involved in changing the cellular response in relation to amino acid starvation.
Source: RNAcentral
UAUUCUGCCCCACGGGGAAGGAUGAGAAGCUUCAAGCGAGAGAACGUUGCCGCUGGCAAUGGCCCGAAGGCGAGGCGCUUUAGCGCCGAGUAAUCCUUCCCCCACCACUG